This 84-nucleotide transfer RNA is filed under the name Phycisphaerales bacterium. Its description in RNAcentral is "tRNA-Leu". It matches the Rfam family "tRNA". Rfam says of the family: Transfer RNA (tRNA) molecules are approximately 80 nucleotides in length. Their secondary structure includes four short double-helical elements and three loops (D, anti-codon, and T loops). Further hydrogen bonds mediate the characteristic L-shaped molecular structure. tRNAs have two regions of fundamental functional importance: the anti-codon, which is responsible for specific mRNA codon recognition, and the 3' end, to which the tRNAs corresponding amino acid is attached (by aminoacyl-tRNA synthetases). tRNAs cope with the degeneracy of the genetic code in two manners: having more than one tRNA (with a specific anti-codon) for a particular amino acid; and 'wobble' base-pairing, i.e. permitting non-standard base-pairing at the 3rd anti-codon position. The record is from RNAcentral. Lineage: Bacteria; Pseudomonadati; Planctomycetota; Phycisphaerae; Phycisphaerales.
GCCGGAGUGGCGGAAUUGGCAGACGCGGCGGAUUCAAAAUCCGCUUGGGUAACACCAGUGGGGGUUCGAGUCCCCCCUCCGGCA